This 88-nucleotide transfer RNA is filed under the name Candidatus Termititenax aidoneus. RNAcentral's name for it is "tRNA-Ser". It matches the Rfam family "tRNA". Rfam says of the family: Transfer RNA (tRNA) molecules are approximately 80 nucleotides in length. Their secondary structure includes four short double-helical elements and three loops (D, anti-codon, and T loops). Lineage: Bacteria; Bacillati; Candidatus Margulisiibacteriota; Candidatus Termititenacia; Candidatus Termititenacales; Candidatus Termititenacaceae. The record is from RNAcentral.
GGAGAGGUGUCAGAGUGGUCGAUCGUAUCUGACUCGAAAUCAGAUGUCCCGCAAGGGACCGUGGGUUCGAAUCCCACCCUCUCCGCCA